AAAAACGCUACCGUGAAAAUUUACCUAGAAAUUCUACCGAGCGGCAUAAGAACUUACCAAUUGUUAAAGCCCGACCGGCUGUUUUCCUCUUGCACCGAAAGCCGGAAAGAAGUACUCGCGGAGGAAUUUUUGACGGUUUGACGGUAAACGCGGGUUUCUAAAAUAACUAGCAAAAGCUUACGUAAAAUGAUUCAAUUAGUAACAAUAGGCACAAUACAUGAUAAUCCACGGGUACUAGGGUGGCACUUAAAAAUCGAUUUUUGAUUUUUAAUGCGUGCGGGUGGUUUAACGGUUCCAUUCCCGU
This is a long non-coding RNA of Amphibalanus amphitrite, 304 nucleotides long. RefSeq lists it as uncharacterized. NCBI's taxonomy places the organism in Eukaryota, Metazoa, Arthropoda, Thecostraca, Balanomorpha, Balanidae. The record is from RefSeq and is a predicted model, not a curated record. The transcript is spliced from 2 exons.